This 502-nucleotide ribosomal RNA is filed under the name uncultured bacterium. RNAcentral describes it as "partial 16S ribosomal RNA". It matches the Rfam family "Bacterial small subunit ribosomal RNA", at positions 29 to 507 of the family's 1533-position model. The record is from RNAcentral.
AGCGAACGCUGGCGGCGUGCCUAACACAUGCAAGUCGAACGUGAAAGGGAGCAAUCCCAAGUAAAGUGGCGUACGGGUGAGUAACACGUAGGUAAUCUACCCCAGAAUCUGGAAUAACCGGCCGAAAGGCUGGCUAAUACUGGAUAGAGCGACGGAAUCCGUAAUUGGGUUUUUCGGGAAAGGGAGCCUGUAAAAAGGCCUUCGUUCUGGGAUGAGCCUGCGUCCCAUCAGCUAGUUGGUGAGGUAAAAGCUUACCAAGGCAAUGACGGGUAGCUGGUCGGAGAGGAUGAGCAGCCACACUGGGACUGAAACACGGUCCAGACUCCUACGGGAGGCAGCAGUAGGGAAUCUUGCGCAAGGGACGAAAGUCUGACGCAGCAACGCCGCGGGAGUGAAGAAGGCCGUCGGGUUGGAAAACUCUGUCGAGUGGGACGAAAAUGCUUGGAGUUCACAGCUCCAGGAACUGACGGUACCACUAAAGGAAGCACCGGCUAACUCCGUG